UAAAUUCUUGGCACACAAUAGCAGCUAAACUUCGCAAUGCAGCAUAAAAAGUGGCUCAGAAAGUUCUUUAUGCAAAAGUUUUACAGCACAAGGUCAAACACAAGAUGGUAAUGACAAGCUUGUCCAUGCUGAAAUUCUUGGAGAUAAGUGAACCUCCACAAAGUGGGCACUACAGUCAUUGUCAGUGCAUGUUCUGAGACACCCUGUAUAUGUGCAUGCACAGAAGAAUCAGGGGAACUGAGGGCGCUUGAUACUUAGACAAGCAGCUACCAUAUAAAACAGAUCUGAAGUCAAGAUAACUUGUGGAAAGGAAGCAAAUUACCUCGGCUGCUUCUUGGCCCACUUCAAUGCAAGUCAUGACUCCUUGCUUCU
This 372-nucleotide long non-coding RNA is filed under the name Dermacentor andersoni. RNAcentral's name for it is "uncharacterized LOC126544882". The record is from RNAcentral. Lineage: Eukaryota; Metazoa; Arthropoda; Arachnida; Ixodida; Ixodidae.